CGUGUAGGCGGUAUCAUAAGUCAGAUGUGAAAUCCCCGAGCUUAACUUGGGAAUUGCAUUCGAUACUGGUUGGCUAGAGUAUGGGAGAGGAUGGUAGAAUUCCAGGUGUAGCGGUGAAAUGCGUAGAGAUCUGGAGGAAUACCGAUGGCGAAGGCAGCCAUCUGGCCUAAUACUGACACUGAGGUGCGAAAGCAUGGGGAGCAAACAGGAUUAGAUACCCCCGUA
Molecule: ribosomal RNA, 225 nt
Filed under: uncultured Acinetobacter sp.
Lineage: Bacteria; Pseudomonadati; Pseudomonadota; Gammaproteobacteria; Moraxellales; Moraxellaceae
Description: partial 16S ribosomal RNA
Rfam family: Bacterial small subunit ribosomal RNA
Source: RNAcentral